CCUACGGGUGGCAGCAGUAGGGAAUCUUUCACAAUGGGCGAAAGCCUGAUGGAGCCACGCCGCGUGCAGGAUGACUGCCUUCUGGUUUGAAACUGCUUUUAUAAUCGAAAAAUAUUGUGGUAACUUAUGUAUAAGGAUCGUCUAACUUCGUGACAGCAGCCGCGGGCAUACGUAGGAGCCGAGCAUUAUCCGGAGUUACUGGGUGUAAAGAGUUGCGUAUGGGGGAUAAUAAGUAGCUAGUGGAAUCUGGUGGCUCAAACAGUCAGACUAUUAGCUAAACUGGUAACCUAGAGACCGUUAGAGGUAAGUGGAAUUCGUAGUGUAGGGGUGAAAUGCGUAGAUAUUAGAAGGAACACCGAUAGCGUAGGCAGGUUGCUGGGAUGGUUCUGACACUAAGGCACGAAAGCGUAGGGAGCAAACGGGAUUAGAUACCCUAGUAGUC
This 442-nucleotide ribosomal RNA is filed under the name uncultured bacterium. RNAcentral describes it as "partial 16S ribosomal RNA". It matches the Rfam family "Bacterial small subunit ribosomal RNA", at positions 338 to 795 of the family's 1533-position model. The record is from RNAcentral.